UGGGGAAUUUUGGACAAUGGGGGAAACCCUGAUCCAGCCAUCCCGCGUGUGCGAUGAAGGCCUUCGGGUUGUAAAGCACUUUUGGCAGGAAAGAAACGUCAUGGGUUAAUACCCCGUGAAACUGACGGUACCUGCAGAAUAAGCACCGGCUAACUACGUGCCAGCAGCCGCGGUAAUACGUAGGGUGCAAGCGUUAAUCGGAAUUACUGGGCGUAAAGCGUGCGCAGGCGGUUCGGAAAGAAAGAUGUGAAAUCCCAGAGCUCAACUUUGGAACUGCAUUUUUAACUACCGGGCUAGAGUGUGUCAGAGGGAGGUGGAAUUCCGAGUGUAGCAGUGAAAUGCGUAGAUAUGCGGAGGAACACCGAUGGCGAAGGCAGCCUCCUGGGAUAACACUGACGCUCAUGCACGAAGGCGUGGGGAGCAAACAGG
Molecule: ribosomal RNA, 429 nt
Filed under: Acidobacteriota bacterium
Lineage: Bacteria; Pseudomonadati; Acidobacteriota
Description: Acidobacteria bacterium partial 16S ribosomal RNA
Rfam family: Bacterial small subunit ribosomal RNA
Source: RNAcentral